This 891-nucleotide ribosomal RNA is filed under the name Triticum aestivum (bread wheat). RNAcentral's name for it is "partial small subunit ribosomal RNA". Lineage: Eukaryota; Viridiplantae; Streptophyta; Magnoliopsida; Poales; Poaceae. The record is from RNAcentral.
AUGGCCUCCUACGACGGCGAGGACGACUCCGGCCGGCGCCGCCCGCCGCCGCAGCAGCACCGCCCGUCCGGCGGGGGCAGCGGCGACCUCGCCGCCAGCGCCAAGCUGGUGGCGGAGGCGGCCAAGGCGGCGCUCCAGGACCACAACCUGGGGAAGGUCGACAAGGGCCGCACCGCCGAGGCCGCCGCCGACCUGCUCCACGCGGCCUCCCUCUACGGCAAGCUCGAGGGCAAGCCCGUCGGCGGCUACCUCAACAAGGCCGAGGACUACCUCCACAAGUUCGGUGCCAAGGAGGGGGGCAGCGGGGGCGGCAAGCAUCAGCCGAGCGGCCACGGGGGUUCAGGCGGCAGGUACGAGGAGGAGGAUGAGUACAGGAAGAAGCCUACUAGUGGUGGUGGGAGGUACGAACAGGAUGAUGAUGAGUACAAGAAGCCCAGCGGUGGUGGGAGGUAUGAAGAGGACGAUGAGUACAGGAAGAAGCCUACUAGUGGUGGUGGUGGCUAUGGAGGUGGAAGGUAUGAAGAAGAUGACUACAAGAAGAAGCCUAGUGGUGGAAGCCAUGGAGGGAAGGAUGAGUCAGAAGGCGGCGGCAUUGGAGACUACAUUGAACUUGCACAGGGUUUCAUGAAGAAGCAGGAUGGCGAGGGUGGGCACAAGAAGACUAGUGGCCAUGGAGGAGGAGGGUAUGGAAAGGAGGAAAAUGAAGAGGAUAGCGGCAAGAAGAAACAUGGUGGCCGCCCUGAGAGUGGAAAACAUGAGUCGGAGGGCAGUGGCAUGGCAGAUUACCUGAAACUUGCUCAGGGUUUCAUGAAGAAGGAUGGUGAGGGGGGAAGCGGAGCUGGUAUGGGGGACUACUUAAAGCUUGCAGAGGGGUUCAUGAAGAAGCGUUGA